CGGCAACAGCUCAAAUUUGAAAUCUGGCCCUCGGGUCCGAAUUGUAAUUUGUAGAGGAUGCUUUUGGUGCGGUGCCUUCUGAGUUCCUUGGAACAGGACGCCUUAGAGGGUGAGAGCCCCGUACAGUUGGACACCAAGCCUUUGUAAAGCUCCUUCGAC
Molecule: ribosomal RNA, 159 nt
Filed under: Diatrypaceae sp.
Lineage: Eukaryota; Fungi; Ascomycota; Sordariomycetes; Xylariales; Diatrypaceae
Description: partial large subunit ribosomal RNA
Rfam family: Eukaryotic large subunit ribosomal RNA
Source: RNAcentral